AAAUGGAUCAACAAAGAAACCCGAAGAAAGGGGUUUGUGAUUCCUAACCUUAUUUUGCUUAAUCACAAGGAUUUGUAAUCAAGAUUCAAUUCCACAAUUAUGUUCUGAAUAAUCGGAAGAGAAUUAUGAAGUAAACGAAACAACCGAUGAAUCAAAAACAAACUUGAAAUCGAUCAGAAUUGGGUUUAUUAUAUACCUGAUUGUUUGCGUAAUAUCGGAGGGUUUAAACCGAGUCAAUCACACGCUCCUCUUGACGGCGGUGACAAGGAUUUCCUCCCCAAUUUCGUUUCUCAUCCCCAGAUUCAUCACCGGCUGGAGCCG
Arabidopsis thaliana (thale cress) is the source of this 321-nucleotide long non-coding RNA. RefSeq annotates it as other RNA. The record is from RefSeq. The transcript has a single exon. Lineage: Eukaryota; Viridiplantae; Streptophyta; Magnoliopsida; Brassicales; Brassicaceae.